This 21-nucleotide microRNA is filed under the name Bombyx mori (domestic silkworm). RNAcentral's name for it is "bmo-miR-2757-3p". Lineage: Eukaryota; Metazoa; Arthropoda; Insecta; Lepidoptera; Bombycidae. The record is from miRBase by way of RNAcentral.
CUGAAAGUGUCCAUUUCCGUU